Eurytemora carolleeae is the source of this 1482-nucleotide long non-coding RNA. RefSeq lists it as uncharacterized. NCBI's taxonomy places the organism in Eukaryota, Metazoa, Arthropoda, Copepoda, Calanoida, Temoridae. The record is from RefSeq and is a predicted model, not a curated record. The transcript has 4 exons.
GAGUAUACUGGAGGGAGGAGUAUCUGGGUGGUCCCGGGGACUCAGUUUAACCUUAAUACUCACAACACCGUUAGGAGUGUCAACCCUCCUUGCUGUUAUAUAUAGAGCAGCCUCAGCGGCAAAACGAGGUCAGGAGAAGAUAUCUGUGAGUGUGUGGAGAGAACUGAUCCUGGCUGUGUUGAACUGGAUUAAGGAGGAGAAGGAGGAGAAACUAGGAGAACCUCUAGUUCCUCCUCAACCCCUAGAUAUAGGAUUCCUUCUCACGCUUACUCAUAAUCAGCAUCAGGCCUGGGAGGCAUUCUUGUUGAAAGUUGGUGUUGAGGCGGUUUAGAACACAAGAAGAAUGAGGAAGAAUAUUAAAAGGGCUGAAAGGGAUGAAAAAAGGAUUGAGACGAAUUAAAUCCAUAGAUUAAUGUUAAUACAGAUAGAACACUAAAUGUCGUCUUUUCAAGAUUUAGGGGUUUUUCGUUUGCAAUAACCCUGAGGCAGAGGCCCCACAGGAGUUAGGCACAUGCUCUCUUAAUUCAACGCUGCCUGCGAGGAACCCCUUUGGGCUUCUGCCGCAGGAUAAUUGUAAACAAAAAACUCUGAAACCUUGACAAGACGAUAUCUAGUGUUCUAUCUUCAUAUUGUUAUUAAUAUGUGAUUGAAUCAAUAUUCAGGAUAUUAACAAACCAGAAUUUAAUUCUCAUUUUACAUUUACUAUUUUUUCUAUAUUUAUUGGCUUCUGGGAGUUCUGUAUGAUCCUAAAGAUUUCGGAUAUGUGUUACUUUUCGGAAUUGUUAAAAAAGUACAGGAAUCUUGAAUGCUUCCCUAAAUAUUGUAUUCGGAAUACAUCCGGAAAAAUUGUAUGUAUGCGGAACUAUUCCGGAAAUAUUUGAUGUGUAGGGAAUUAUUGAAUUCCAGACCCCUAUUUGAUGCUUUAUUUUUAAACCCAGCUCCGGUAUUGUGCCUCAUUUCCUGUCAUAUAAAAACUUGCAUAACAAUUAGUGAAGGAUAGAAAUUGUAAAAAAAAAUGAAAAAUAUGGAGGAAAUUUGAUCACCAACGUAAUGCAAAUCUGACAUUCUUUUAUACCGUUACACCUACAUACAGUCGUUUUUAUCCAGUGUUUUAAUGCCAGUGUCUAAAUGUUGUAAUUUUUGGGGCGGUGAACACUGAAGCUAGGAACUCGAUAUCUUUGUUUACUUAAAUUGUACUGCAGUUGCUGGAAGGAACAUAAUAUUAUUUAAAUUUUUUCUCUAAAGACGGAUCUUGGUUUCCUAGCACUUCCUCCUUGGACAUAAUCAGGAAGUAAUGAAUAGAAGGGAGAUAUAACUGACGCGGUUCGCCCUACCAUAUGAUUAUACAUGCUUUGCAGACGGGUACUCCAUUUGUAUAAGAAAUAUUUGUCUGAUGUACUAUAACCGCGUAUGCAAUAACCUAUUAUGAAUAUUUUUUAUUCAAAUGUAGUACCGUCUGCAAAGCACGCAUAAUCAUAUGGU